RNAcentral lists this transfer RNA (75 nucleotides) under Pteropus alecto (black flying fox). It matches the Rfam family "tRNA". From Rfam's summary of the family: Transfer RNA (tRNA) molecules are approximately 80 nucleotides in length. Their secondary structure includes four short double-helical elements and three loops (D, anti-codon, and T loops). Lineage: Eukaryota; Metazoa; Chordata; Mammalia; Chiroptera; Pteropodidae. The record is from Rfam by way of RNAcentral.
GGCUCCAUAGUGUAGUGGUUAGCACAUCUGCUUUGCAUGUCAGAAGGUCCUGGGUUCGCCCCCCAGGUGGAGCCA